RNAcentral lists this ribosomal RNA (377 nucleotides) under uncultured bacterium. Its description in RNAcentral is "bacterial SSU rRNA". It matches the Rfam family "Bacterial small subunit ribosomal RNA", at positions 521 to 896 of the family's 1533-position model. The record is from RNAcentral.
UAAUACGAAGGGGGCUAGCGUUGCUCGGAAUUACUGGGCGUAAAGGGCGCGUAGGCGGACAGUUUAGUCAGAGGUGAAAGCCCAGGGCUCAACCUUGGAAUUGCCUUUGAUACUGGCUGUCUUGAGUUCGGGAGAGGUGAGUGGAAUGCCGAGUGUAGAGGUGAAAUUCGUAGAUAUUCGGCGGAACACCAGUGGCGAAGGCGACUCACUGGCCCGAUACUGACGCUGAGGCGCGAAAGCGUGGGGAGCAAACAGGAUUAGAUACCCUGGUAGUCCACGCCGUAAACGAUGGGUACUAGGUGCCUGGGGGAGCGACCCUCUGGGUGCCGGCGCUAACGCAGGAAGUACCCCGCCUGGGGAGUACGACCGCAAGGUUG